GAUGAACGCUGGCGGCGUGCCUAAUACGUGCAAGUCGAGCGAACGGACGAGAAGCUUGCUUCUCUGAUGUUAGCGGCGGACGGGUGAGUAACACGUGGAUAACCUACCUAUAAGACUGGGAUAACUUCGGGAAACCGGAGCUAAUACCGGAUGAUAUUUUGAACCGCAUGGUUCAAAAGUGAAAGACGGUCUUGCUGUCACUUAUAGAUGGAUCCGCGCUGCAUUAGCUAGUUGGUAAGGUAACGGCUUACCAAGGCAACGAUGCAUAGCCGACCUGAGAGGGUGAUCGGCCACACUGGAACUGAGACACGGUCCAGACUCCUACGGGAGGCAGCAGCAGGGAAUCUUCCGCAAUGGGCGAAAGCCUGACGGAGCAACGCCGCGUGAGUGAUGAAGGUCUUCGGAUCGUAAAACUCUGUUAUUAGGGAAGAACAUAUGUGUAAGUAACUGUGCACAUCUUGACGGUACCUAAUCAGAAAGCCACGGCUAACUACGUG
This 497-nucleotide ribosomal RNA is filed under the name uncultured bacterium. RNAcentral describes it as "partial 16S ribosomal RNA". It matches the Rfam family "Bacterial small subunit ribosomal RNA", at positions 28 to 507 of the family's 1533-position model. The record is from RNAcentral.